Molecule: long non-coding RNA, 823 nt
Organism: Musa acuminata AAA Group (dessert banana)
Lineage: Eukaryota; Viridiplantae; Streptophyta; Magnoliopsida; Zingiberales; Musaceae
Exons: 2
Source: RefSeq, a predicted model, not a curated record
GUUAUUUUAUUGAUCCGAUGGUUCAACCCAAUUCAACCCAACCCAUCUAUUGCAAUGGUUCGGAUAAGGUUCGGGUCCUAUUCUAAUCCAACGGACCCGUACGAUCCUUACCCGACCCGAACAGCUCCGGUUGACAAAGAAGCGGGUCGCAGUAAUCCCAUAGAUCGAUCGUCUGAUAUUGAUCGAACGGUGCGUAUUAAUGUUAUAAAAAAGAGCACAAAAAUAAUCAACAGUCGUCCCCUGCAACGGCCGCUAGGGUUCUGUCCCGCUUGCUAUAAAGCCGGCGACGACAUCUAUCCGACGGCGGAUUACCGCGCCUAUCGCUGCCGGACCCAUCCUCGAAGUGGUGGUGUGUUGGAUCCCUGGAGGAACACCGGAUGAACAAUUUCAGGUUGCACCGUGAGAAAAGAACAUUUUCUGUCUCCAUCAUCUGAUUAGGUUAAACUUAGCUUCGAUAGCUCCUACAUCAAUAAGGAUGAUUGUGUGGUGUGGAUCACCACAUAUUCAGACACCGAAUAUGUUCAAUAUGACCGGUCUUUGAGGCCGAAAAUAACUCUCGAUGAGUUUACAAGGCACGCAAAUGCAACAGCAAGAAGCUCAUUUUGGAAUCCGAAUUCGAAGCUCUUUUUGUGUUUUGAAGAUGAAACAAAUUCUGGUGGAGGAUUGCUGAUUUUCUGACUGAUAUGUAAUUUAUAUUUUGAACUUGUUGACGGUAGAUUGUUGUCGUGUCAACAUGAAUUGAACGAAAUUUCCUGGUUUGUCAUUUGUCACCUAUGUUUUCUUACUGAACUUUUUUUGACAGAUAUCAAUAUGGUUAUUGAUC